GGAUGGGUAGUCCCGUAAUCGGUAUCGGGGGCGGACUGUAAAUCCGUUGUCGCUGGCCUUGCUGGUUCGAAUCCAGCGCCAUCCA
RNAcentral lists this transfer RNA (85 nucleotides) under Caballeronia novacaledonica. RNAcentral describes it as "tRNA-Tyr". It matches the Rfam family "tRNA". From Rfam's summary of the family: Transfer RNA (tRNA) molecules are approximately 80 nucleotides in length. Their secondary structure includes four short double-helical elements and three loops (D, anti-codon, and T loops). Further hydrogen bonds mediate the characteristic L-shaped molecular structure. tRNAs have two regions of fundamental functional importance: the anti-codon, which is responsible for specific mRNA codon recognition, and the 3' end, to which the tRNAs corresponding amino acid is attached (by aminoacyl-tRNA synthetases). tRNAs cope with the degeneracy of the genetic code in two manners: having more than one tRNA (with a specific anti-codon) for a particular amino acid; and 'wobble' base-pairing, i.e. permitting non-standard base-pairing at the 3rd anti-codon position. The record is from RNAcentral. Lineage: Bacteria; Pseudomonadati; Pseudomonadota; Betaproteobacteria; Burkholderiales; Burkholderiaceae.